UAANUAGUUGGUGGGGGUAACGGGCUCACCAAGGCGACGAUACAUAGCCGACNUGAGAGGGUGAUCGGCCACAAUGGGACUGAGACACGGNCCAGACUCCUACAGAGGCAGCAGUAGGGAAUNUUGGACAAUGGACGGAAGUNUGACCGAGCAACACCGCGUGAGUGAAGAAGGUUUUCGGAUCNNAAAGCUCUGUUGUAAGNGAAGAACAAGNGUGAGAGUGGAAAGUUCACUCUGUGACGGUAUCUUACCAGAAAGGGACAGCUAACUAUGUGCCAGCAGCCGCGGUAAUANGUAGGUCCCGAGCGUUGUCCGGAUUUAAUGGGCGUNAAGCGAGCGCAGGCGGGUAGAUAAGUCAGAAGUUAAGGGCUGUGGCUUAACCAUAGUACGCUUUGGAAACUGUUUAACUUGAGUGCAAGAGGGGGGAGUGGAAUUCCAUGNGUAGCGGUGAAAUGCGUAGAUAUAUGGAGGAACACCGGUGGGGAAAGCGGCUCUNUGGCUUGUAACUGACGCUGAGGCUUGAAAGCGUGGGGAGCAAACAGG
This 543-nucleotide ribosomal RNA is filed under the name uncultured Streptococcus sp. RNAcentral describes it as "partial 16S ribosomal RNA". It matches the Rfam family "Bacterial small subunit ribosomal RNA", at positions 242 to 776 of the family's 1533-position model. The record is from RNAcentral. Lineage: Bacteria; Bacillati; Bacillota; Bacilli; Lactobacillales; Streptococcaceae.